GAUGAAGAACGCAGCGAAAUGCGAUAAGUAAUGUGAAUUGCAGAAUUCAGUGAAUCAUCGAGUCUUUGAACGCACAUUGCGCCCCCUGGUAUUCCGGGGGGCAUGCCUGUCCGAGCGUCAUUGCUGCCCUCAAGCACGGCUUGUGUGUUGGGCCUCUGUCCUCCUCCCGGGGGACGGGCCCGAAAGGCAGCGGCGGCACCGCGUCCGGUCCUCGAGCGUAUGGGGCUUCGUCACCCGCUCUUGUAGGCCCGGCCGGCGCUUGCCGACACAUCAAUCUUUUUUCCAGGUUGACCUCGGAUCAGGUAGGGAUACCCGCUGAACUUAAGCAUAUCAAUAAGCGGAGA
Molecule: unclassified non-coding RNA, 344 nt
Filed under: soil metagenome
Description: partial contains 5.8S ribosomal RNA, internal transcribed spacer 2, and large subunit ribosomal RNA
Rfam family: 5.8S ribosomal RNA (bases 1-120)
Source: RNAcentral